ACUACCCCUAGAGGUGUUGCAGAUGUUGCUGUUGUGUCACAUGUUUGUAAGUAGGUGGCAAAGAUCAGAAAAGCUGUCUACACUCAAUGUGUUGACCUGUGAACAUCUGAAAAAGCAAGUUAGGGACU
This is a small nucleolar RNA of Arvicanthis niloticus (Nile rat), 128 nucleotides long. RefSeq annotates it as small nucleolar RNA SNORA17. Lineage: Eukaryota; Metazoa; Chordata; Mammalia; Rodentia; Muridae. The record is from RefSeq and is a predicted model, not a curated record.